RNAcentral lists this ribosomal RNA (621 nucleotides) under uncultured bacterium. RNAcentral describes it as "bacterial SSU rRNA". It matches the Rfam family "Bacterial small subunit ribosomal RNA", at positions 338 to 1363 of the family's 1533-position model. The record is from RNAcentral.
CCUACGGGAGGCAGCAGUGGGGAAUUUUGGACAAUGGGCGCAAGCCUGAUCCAGCCAUGCCGCGUGUGGGAAGAAGGCCUUCGGGUUGUAAACCACUUUUGUCAGGGAAGAAACGGUCUGAACUAAUACUUUGGACUAAUGACGGUACCUGAAGAAUAAGCACCGGCUAACUACGUGCCAGCAGCCGCGGUAAUACGUAGGGUGCAAGCGUUAAUCGGAAUUACUGGGCGUAAAGCGUGCGCAGGCGGCUUUGCAAGACAGAUGUGAAAUCCCCGGGCUCAACCUGGGAACUGCAUUUGUGACUGCAUGGCUAGAGUACGGUAGAGGGGGAUGGAAUUCCGCGUGUAGCAGUGAAAUGCGUAGAUAUGCGGAGGAACACCGAUGGCGAAGGCAAUCCCCUGGACCUGUACUGACGCUCAUGCACGAAAGCGUGGGGAGCAAACAGGAUUAGAUACCCUGGUAGUCCACGCCCUAAACGAUGUCAACUGGUUGUUGGGAGGGUUUCUUCUCAGUAACGAAGCUAACGCGUGAAGUUGACCGCCUGGGGAGUACGGCCGCAAGGUUGAAACUCAAAGAGUAGUAGCGGNGNGAGAGCGACGACGACGACGAGGAGGGAGGAGG